AGCUUUGCGCAGUGGCGAUAUCGUUACCUCGGAUAAACCAUCCGAGGUACAAUCAUUGCUAGUUGAAAACUUUAACCAAUGAU
This 83-nucleotide small nuclear RNA is filed under the name Oryctes borbonicus. Its description in RNAcentral is "U4 spliceosomal RNA". It matches the Rfam family "U4 spliceosomal RNA", at positions 1 to 82 of the family's 138-position model. Rfam says of the family: U4 small nuclear RNA (U4 snRNA) is a component of the major U2-dependent spliceosome. The structure of U4 snRNA from yeast and human has been reported. The record is from Rfam by way of RNAcentral. Lineage: Eukaryota; Metazoa; Arthropoda; Insecta; Coleoptera; Scarabaeidae.